This 448-nucleotide unclassified non-coding RNA is filed under the name Hevea brasiliensis (rubber tree). The record is from RNAcentral. Lineage: Eukaryota; Viridiplantae; Streptophyta; Magnoliopsida; Malpighiales; Euphorbiaceae.
AAGUUUCAACCCUUUCCUUUUCACAACCUCUUCAAGCCGAGCUCUGACAUACUUGUUAGAUGCAACACCUCCAGACACUACCAAAUGAUUUAUGGAAGGCUCUAUGUUCAAACCCCACUCGAUUGCCCGUUCACACUUUUCCUCCAAAUGUAAUACCGCAACUCGCUGGAAGGAGGCAGCAAUAUCUGCCCGAGCCUGUCUCUCUUUGUCAGAAGCUGAAGCAAGAGAGAUUUCAGCAUUGAUUCUUUUUGCUUCAAUUGCCAACCUCACUUGCGUCUUCAGACCAGCAUAUGAGAAGUUGCAAUCCUUGUGUUGUUUCAUAGGGACUUUAAAUUUGACAGACUUGGCAUCUCCUUCUUGAGCUAGCUCCUCUACAGCAGGGCCCCCGCUCCUCCUCAGAUCAAGACCAAGCCAUUUUGCUGUUUUGUCAUAUGCCUCACCAAUUGCA